GGAGUGGCCGUAAGGCGGGGUUCCAUUGUACUUUGUGAAGACAACAAGGCCGUGAUUUCGUUCAAAGUGAUAGUAACAUUUAGCUCAACUAAGCAGUGGGAAAUUUUGUUGGUAAACACGGUGUCGCUAUCACUGCUUGUCUUUAGUUCUGCUGAAGUACAGUGGAGAGGGCGAUAAGCCCACGCGUGUUUUCAGUGCCAACUGGACCAAAGAUGAAGACAUCAGUCGCUGCCUGAGGUCUCUACCCAACUGGCCUGGCAUUCAGCACCACCAUUCACAUCGACAUAGAAAGGAAGACGAAGAGCAAGAUGUAGAGGCGGUGAGAAAACGAAAUCAGAAGGUAAUCUCAACUCUUGCUGUUUAUUUCUCAAGUAUUCUUCUCUUGGUAGUAUGAAUGGUCCUAGGUCACACUUUUUCAGGCGAUUCUAG
Molecule: long non-coding RNA, 429 nt
Organism: Orbicella faveolata
Lineage: Eukaryota; Metazoa; Cnidaria; Anthozoa; Scleractinia; Merulinidae
Source: RefSeq, a predicted model, not a curated record